AGGACUCCCUGAACAUCCCAAACUAGUCCUAGUUAAUAAACAGCACCAGUAAACUACAGAUGCUUCUGCAACUGUCAUUAGUUCAGCACCUACAGGGGUCUGCAUGGCCCCUAGUACCUUAACAGAGCUGAGCCUCGGAAGUUUUCGGACGACUCAGAUCUAUUUCUCAAUAAGCUACAUGAGUGACAACAUGAAUGACCAGUUGAGCUAAAAGCCAAGAGCCUUUAAACCUGUGAGUGAACAAGACGUCCUGAUUUUGAGGCAUAAAUAGCAGCUACCUGACAGACAUUCACCUGCAGCACGAAAAUGCUAUGGUGUGAAUGUGUAAGAAAUAGUUAAAAAAAUCCCAAACCAGCAUAUAAAAAGUGCAAAUUCUACUUGCAAGUUUGAGACCCUUGGCAGAAUUACAGUGUGGGUCACAGUUUCUUAAUGACAUAUCAAUCUCAGACUCUCACUUGAGUACACAGCUUGGCAAAGAGGGGAUGGGCCAAUUUUUCCUGAUAAUUUGCCUAAUUUCACAAGCGGGACUUGCUGUAAACAGCCUGCCCCAUCAAGCAUUGCAGAUCCUUCAGGACAACAGCAGCCUAACAUUCAUCUCUUCCAAAUAAGACCAGGCUACCCCAACUGUUGGAGAGGGCUAACAAGUCACAAAGUCUAGGUCAGUGGCUAAAUGCUUGCAAGCUUGGAGAGGGAGGGGGCUGAACACACGGUUUUGUGCCACCAACAUCCUCUCCAGACACAAAAAUCAAGCCCAGAACAGAGCCUUUUGAAGCAGAGCCUUCAGCCAUGGUUUGGGGGGUUGGCUCAGGAUUAUCCCACCUUUUUUCAAGGCCAGGAACUGUGGAAGGUAUAUGCAGUGGUUUUCUGCCUUGGAUGAAAAGUGAUGGUGAUGCCCGUCAGCUUAGAAGCAUCCCCAUGUGUUUUGCAUUCUGUAUAGGAGGGGUUUGGGGAAAGAGAAGAAGGUAAAUCAGAUUGCUUUAGCUGUUAUUCAGAAUUAGCUGAUAAUUAACAAAGCAAGGAAUAGGUGACAGGAGAGUGGAAGAGGAAGAAGCCAGUCAAGGAGGAGCAAGCAUCCAGUCCUGGGCACAUAUUCACAGGAAAGAGACACUGAGCUAUCUUACUAUAUCAUCAGAAGCUCUAGGCAAGUGGACCCAGAAACAGGGGAUCCUUUGAACGCCCUCCCACUGAGCGGAGGCAGCAAACUUCUGAGUUCUGUAAGAAGAGGCUGAAAGUUAGCUGAGUGCUUCUGAGCAGCAUUGCUGCAUCUGGGAAGGGUGAGUUUACAUAAGUUAAGAGCAAAGCAAGGAUACAGCUCUAAAGUCCUGCACCAAGGGAAGGAAAUGCUGGCCACAAUACAUUCAGCACCCAAAGGGUGCUAAGACUUCAGGCUCUGCAAUCUGGGGGUCUCCAGCUCCGUGGUCCUAUAUUAACUCAAUAACUCAUGGGCCAGUUCCAGUUUCCCCUUCUGGCAGCAAAAGCAAAGGGAAAGGGGAAAAAAGCAUCCCUGCCAGUUCGGAUCUUUCUCGCUCACUCCACGACAGAUGGGGAGGCAAUUCGCAGCCAGAUUCCCCCUCUGGUAGCUCAAGGCAGGCAUCACGCUUGCUCAGGGCAUUGCAAAUUGGAAAGCCAGUCCAGAAUAAAUAAUGGAGCAAGUCAUAGAAAAAUAUUGAGACAGCAUGAAAAACCCUGACAUUCCCUGUCUCGGAGGGUAUGGAUUAUUUAGAGAUAUGGAGGUAGGGGAUUCCCGUGGGAGCAGGCUCUCUUGCAUACCUUCUCUUUCACGCACACGACAAACAUUUCUGUGCUACUUUGCUGGCCAGUCACAGAACACAAGGUGUUCUGAGCUCUGACGUGAUUUUUAAAAGACACUGAGGUUGCCUUAUUUUAGGGAAUAAACCCAAGCACCAAGAAAGUUCUAGUGCUUUAAACUCACACGAAUAAAAACCAGUGGGUUUCUUUAACCGUAAUCUCCGCUUUAUAAGGUUUGUCUCUUUUCAACCCCAUUCAUACAGCAAAACAAAGCUGCUCAUUUCUGCCUGCCUUGUUCUCCUCUUAACUGCCUUCACUUCCUUGAGGAUAGAAAUAUGUAAAAUAGCAACUGCUCCAGAAAAAAUAGGUGAGAAAUUUCUAUUCUCCCCUGUCCUCUAGCACAAGAGUAAUGAAGCCUUCUGUCAAUUUUAGAGGUGGGAACCUCAUAGCUGGCAGAAGAAAAGCUACUUCAUACAUUUUCUUACACAGUGGAACUCUCUGCCAUUUAGUGUUUCCCAGAGUAACAUUUUAGAGUGAUUAUUUUUUUUUAAAGCACUGUAUGGGUUUAUGGUAUCAGAAGUACACUAAUUAUUUAAGAGUAUCUGUACUGGUUCAGAUUAAACAUCCAUCUAACCUAGUACCCUGCUUCCAACAUAAGGGCAUUAAAAAAAAGUUGCCCAAAGAUGUCAGAACAGGGUGAGGAAAAUAAAUAUUUGUUUUACUAAUAAAAAUGCUGGAAAAGAAACUAAACAUCAUGUUCCAGGAUUUCAGCCAGCCCUGUCGAAGACAGGGAUGUGCCUGAUUUGGAAAAAGGGGUGGGAGGCAUGACAGCCUACUGCAGCUUUCGCACACUUUCCUCUGCAACACUGGGCUCACCAGUAAUCACUGGGUAGGAUGGACACGGUAGUGCUAGGCUGUACCUCUGAACACUGUCUCAAACCCCCAAAAUCUUAUCACGAGUAAAAUCGGUGGCCCCAGCUCUGCAGUCCUACAAAGGGAGAGGGAGGGGUAGCCACUGCUUUGCUAGAGCUUAGAGGAGAUCUCAAAGCUCCUCUGCAUUACAGUAGGAAUACGCUCAUUUUAGGACACAUCGUGGCUGUGCUCCCUUCGGGACUGUCUGCAUUCUUUCACUUCAUAGCUACCUGCACAAAGAUUUUUAAAAUGUAUGGAGAUUGCACAGGCACAAACGUGACAGCAGGUUUUUUUCUAUGCUAGCAAUUCCCUCUCCCAUUUUUACCCCUACUUUACUCUUCUCUUCUCCCCUUUGCCUGUAGGGCUCUCGAAUGGCAGCAAAUUAAGUGAAAUGCCAUCAAUAAAGAUGAAUGAAAUCCCAGUGAAACACAUGGCAGGAUCUUUCCUUGCAAAAGCAAAUAAUACUUGCCUAAAUUAAAAAAGUAGCUGCGUGGGUUUGUCUUUCAGAUUGUGAAUCUAGCUUAACUCAAGCCUAUAAGUCAUAUUUUAUGGUCCAUACCCAAGGUCAAAGCAAGUUUAAUCCUGGUACCAAAAACCUACAGCUUUUCAUGUACAAGUAGCAGAGAUGGUGCUGCUUUGGGCUGAAUUGUCAUGAAAGCAGCUCCCCUUAUAAAAUUUCACCAAUUUCCCAAUUAAAAGCUAGAACAAGCAAACAAAAACCCCCAAACCAACCCACCCCCCUCUUCCAUAGUCUGGCUGUGGGUCUGACCCAGAGCUGAACCAUGGCAGCAGGUUGUGAUUUUGCUCUGGAGAGACACAGAUCAGCGUGGCGAGCAGCUGGCACCGUGCCACUUCAGAAUCUCAAGGGCAGACCUGUCGUGUCUCACUGAUACAAAUCUAACCGCCGCACACGGGGCUGCCACGCAGAACUGUGCUCCCAAGCCCUCUCUGCUGCACAAUCAGACCUGAGCAGGUCGUCUCACAGAAUCCUUGUGUGUUCUGCCAAAAGGAUGGCCUAUUUUCCUGCAGAGCCUUCCCUCAUACCCCAGAUGAUAUGCAAGAACAAGCUAGGGAAAUGGAAAUAAAAGCCAAACUCACAGGCAAAAUAACCUUUUUCCUAAUGCCUGCAGAGUGGAGUCCCUGUGACUUGCAACUGGCUUUGAGUUGGCAUCACCCACAAAGGUCGUUGUAGGGUUGUAAAGAGGUUUCCUCCCCCUCUCCCCCAAACCACUGUUUUUUCUUGGCUGUUUUCCUUUGUCACUAGCUCCUUAGACUUCCACAUUUAUCCCUGUAACUGCACUACUUACACUAUUUAAUUCUAGGACACCACGUAUGUAAGAACAUACCGUAUAGAAACAAGCCAAAUCUAGCUGUAGCCGAAAUUCUUGACUACUUCAGGAGCUUAACCUCCCAACCCAACAAAAACAACAAUAAAACAAAGAAACAGAAAAGCAAUCUUUAUGAUUUAUCUUUUUUCUAGGCUAUUCAGUAUAUCCUCAACCUAGCCUAGUGAACAUUGCACUAAUAUUCAGGGUGGGGGUGUGUGUGUUGCAUUUCUGUAGGUAUACCCACACACAAAAGGUUAUAAAUUCCAAAGUGCUUGGACAUUCUGUUUGGAAAUGAGAAUAAUCAACUGGAGAUCCUUGUACAGGUAGAAAAUCCAGGCUAAAUCAGAGAUUAUAAUGUACAUUUUAUGCUCUUGAAAGCAGGAAUGUAAGGGCUUAGUUCUGCUCUUGUUCCAUGGGAGUUCAGCAGAUACCAGAUUGGAUUCUAAAUCACACGGGAAGCUAAACGUAGCCUUAUCUACUACGUUAUUUAUUUACAGCCAUAUGAGCAGAUGCAUAAUGCUUAGAUGCAACUGAAAUGACAUUUCUGUUGGGCAGACAGCUUGCAAACAAAGAAAUUAUGACGGGAUCUUCCUCAGAAUCCAGGGGGAAGCCCACAUGAAUACUAGUGGAUAUUUGCCCUGCACCAGAAGAAGAGUAUGUGUGGAAGAAAAGCAUUGUCCAGACACCAAGAACAGCAGGAGUGUGACUCUUGCUAAUUUUAAUUAUUAAGCAAUUGAGAUUCCACCUCCAAAUUCUGAGGGAGAGUCAGCGCCACUCAGAAUGCAAAGCCCUUGCCCUCUGGAUGUACAAACAGAGCUGUUCUUGUGGUUGGCAUCUUUGUCUUGAUAACAGGCAUUACUUUUAUAAAGUAAAUCUAUUCCUCACAAUAGAUAAAACAACCAUUUUGGUUCACACCCAUCAGUGUACAUACAGAGGCAUGCCUAUACCCACUGGGGGACAGAUUUUGUGUGUCCCCAUCAGAAAAUGGGGAAAUCACUUGACUGAAUGUAUAUAGUGUUAUUAAUUUUGAUGCCAAAAUGGCACAAUAUUUAGGAGUGUGCUAAGGCAGGGAUUGAACAGCCAUCGAUAUAUCCAGUCACUUUUUCCCAAGUGUUUAGCUACAUAGUCUUUCAGUCCGUGGAUUCAAGCCAGUCAUAACCUUCAUGUUUCCUCCUAAAUUUCAUAUAUUCUUACUCUUUCUACACACUCAGUUUUUUCCUUCUUCAAUAAAAUAGAAGCUUAGCUAAAAGGGUAACCCUGUCCCCACGCCUCAUCUCACACUCUCUUUUUAGGAGAGGCUUAAGAUAACUAAAUGCAGAAAUUGGAAUGACAAAUAGCAACCACAGAAACACAUACCUAACACAAUAAGUGAUUAAAUUGCACCAGAAGUAUAACCAUAGCUUUCCUAGUGGAUAGAGUAAUUCAGUGCAGGGUGCACUGUGGCACCCGGUGGAAACAUAGGUAAGGGAAUAUUCACCUUCUGUGGGGAAGAAGCAACAUCAUGGCCAGAACACUUCCAGAUAAUUACCUCUCAGACAGUACGUAAAAUGCGAGCAGGGGUGCCAGUGUGCUUUGCCUGGACAGCAAGUGUGUCCCAACUACAACUCUGCUUCUCGCCAUUUUGAACAAAGCAGUUGCUUUGCACAGCAGGUCAUCUACCCCAUAACAGUUACUUCAGCCUUCAUGCUGGAUUAACAGGCACUUCGCAACAGCUGAGCCUGCAAAAGAUGCCCUAGAGGAGAUAUGUUGCUGUACAAUACAUCCACAUCUUACUUAAUCACGGGUUCCCUGUACCCUCAGGUACCCACACAGAUGUCAGCAUGUUCUGUAAGAUGGUGACUCUGCCAUGAGUAAUGGCCUCUACCACAGGCACAGCCUUAUGGAAAAGCUCUUCAGUGGUUCAUUUAAGCUGUGCCUAGUGGCCUCCAUGAGAAGCUAACAGUACAAGCUGCCUGGGCGCAAUACCUCACUGCUGCUGUGGUCAUAUUCCCUACACUCUUUUUCCUAUCCAUGUGUUGGGUGUGUGCCCUCCUUCAAAUUACAGCACUGUUCUGGGCAAAAAUGACACUAGCAGCAUCGGUAUUAACAUAUUAAAUAUAUGAUUAACAGACUAAGAGAAGAUAUUCUAUACGGGACAAUGCACAUUGCUAGCAAUCCCAGACUGCAAGCAUACACUCACCAUCAUCCUUUGCCUUCUUACAGUCACCAAUGAGAUGUCUGGGAAGCAACUCCUCCAAAAAGGAGAAGUUAUUGGCAAGGAAGGCCCACAUGCAGGGAGGAAUAACUCCUGUGCUCAGAUAUCCUAGAUCUGUGUGAUAGCUCCCCCUCCUCUCCUGCAGACCAGUGGGAAGGUAGCACUAGACAAUAUAGAGUCUUUACUUAGUUUACUCAUUUCACCUGUGAUUUAUCC
Molecule: long non-coding RNA, 6399 nt
Filed under: Strigops habroptila (Kakapo)
Lineage: Eukaryota; Metazoa; Chordata; Aves; Psittaciformes; Psittacidae
Description: lncRNA (ENSSHBG00005010874.1)
Source: RNAcentral